Molecule: long non-coding RNA, 1412 nt
Organism: Ictalurus punctatus (channel catfish)
Lineage: Eukaryota; Metazoa; Chordata; Actinopteri; Siluriformes; Ictaluridae
Source: Ensembl
CAUCGAAUCCUAUUUCUUUGGAAAUUCCUUGCCACAACAACUCCCUCUUAUCAACAUUCUUGUAGGCGUUUUUAAGCUCUCGCCGUUCAGACAUCAAAGACACCAGCAGCUUCAACUUGCUAUUUGCUUGCUUCAUUUUCAGCUUCUUCUUCUUUGUGUUGAUCUCCAGGUGAACCAAUGAACCAGUGUUUAAUAAAUAAUUUGAACUGUUCUCCGGUCAGUUUUAUAAUGUAAGUUUAUAAAACUGAAAUUAUUCAAUAGUGUUUGGACUGAUCCCUGCUCAGUGCUUGCCUCAGGAUGCCUUGUUAAUAAUCUGACAUGAAAUCCCACCGAAUUACCUGAUAAAAAUAAAAAAAAAGACAUGGCCAGAUGCUGUGGGUUAUUACGUAGGUGAGAGAAAAUUUGGAAAGUUUUGCAUUUAUUAAACCUUAUUCACAAUAAGGAGCCUACAGGUUACAAAACCCAGCUCUUGUACUUGUCAGACAGAUGUUAAAAACUCAACACAUUAAAAAACAAAAACAAAAAAAACAAACAAACAAACAAUUUUUUUUUAAAUGGCUCUUACAAUGAUGUGGACAGGCACACUUCACCCAGGAUUCAAACCCAAGGCAGCAGCAUACCAUUUGAAAACACCAUCGACUCCCCCACACACUUCCUUGUUUGACACAAACAACAUGUGGGUUAUAAUUCGUUAAGGCUUAUCUGAAUCGUUGUCAAGGUUGUUUCAUAGCAACACCUGCAAGUGACCACUAGGUGUCACCGUGGAGACGGGUGUCGGAUUGUUUCGAAGCCUCGAGACAAUAUGGCACAUUUGCUUGUCCUGUUUCAGUGUACCACGAAGCCUCGCUCUGCACACCACUGGUGGACACGGGCGCAGUCGUUUUAUAUCGUCUCUUUUAAAACCUCCAGAUUUUUUCCAGAUGAACUGCAGAAAUUUAGCAGAACGCCAUAUUUUAAUCCACAAACUAAUCAACUUCCCACUGCCGUAGCCUGCUGUACUUCCUGUAUAUCUUGAUUGAUAGAUGCCUCGCCCAAUCAGCGGUCAGUAUUCCAUUCGCUAACUAUAGGCCUACCUACCUUUUCCGUUUUGUCUGUUUUGUUCAUUUGUUUUGAGAUUUGUUAUUUUGUUGGCAGAUUUAUUGAGACUCUGUGGAGUAUUGCCAAGAGGAAAAUGAGAGACACCAGACCCAACAAUACAGACAAGUUGAAGGUCGCUAUCAAAGUAACCUGGGCUUCCAGAACACCUCAGCAGUGCCACAGGCUGAUUCCCUACAUGCCACACCGCACUGAUGCAGUAAUUUUGAUGCAAAAGCAGCCCUGACCAAAUGCACCUGUAAUAAAAAAUGAAGUCAGCUGAUAACCAGGUUAUACCCCUCAAUGGAUCCCAUCAAUGGAGUCCUGACCAUAACCCC